This is a transfer RNA of 77 nucleotides. It matches the Rfam family "tRNA". From Rfam's summary of the family: Transfer RNA (tRNA) molecules are approximately 80 nucleotides in length. Their secondary structure includes four short double-helical elements and three loops (D, anti-codon, and T loops). Further hydrogen bonds mediate the characteristic L-shaped molecular structure. tRNAs have two regions of fundamental functional importance: the anti-codon, which is responsible for specific mRNA codon recognition, and the 3' end, to which the tRNAs corresponding amino acid is attached (by aminoacyl-tRNA synthetases). tRNAs cope with the degeneracy of the genetic code in two manners: having more than one tRNA (with a specific anti-codon) for a particular amino acid; and 'wobble' base-pairing, i.e. permitting non-standard base-pairing at the 3rd anti-codon position.
GGGCGCGUAGCUCAGCUGGUUAGAGUGCUUGCAUGACACGCAAGAGGUCAGAGGUUCGAGUCCUCUCGCGCCCACUA